AUACGGAGGGUCCAAGCGUUGUCCGGAAUCACUGGGUGUAAAGGGUGCGCAGGCGGGCUUGUAAGUCAGAGGUGAAAUCCCCCGGCCUAACCGGGGAACUGCCUUUGAUACUGCAAGUCUUGAGUCUUGGAGAGGUUGCCAGAAUUCGUGGUGUAGCGGUGAAAUGCGUAGAUAUCACGAGGAAUACCUGAUGCGUAGGCGGGCAACUGGACAAGUACUGACGCUGAGGCACGAAAGCGUGGGGAGCGAACAGGAUUAGAAACCCCAGUAGUCC
This 274-nucleotide ribosomal RNA is filed under the name uncultured bacterium. Its description in RNAcentral is "partial 16S ribosomal RNA". It matches the Rfam family "Bacterial small subunit ribosomal RNA", at positions 523 to 796 of the family's 1533-position model. The record is from RNAcentral.